This 229-nucleotide ribosomal RNA is filed under the name uncultured bacterium. RNAcentral describes it as "partial 16S ribosomal RNA". It matches the Rfam family "Bacterial small subunit ribosomal RNA", at positions 568 to 796 of the family's 1533-position model. The record is from RNAcentral.
CGUGUAGGCGGCUUGGCAAGUCAGUUGUGAAAGCCCGGGGCUCAACCCCGGAAGUGCAAUUGAAACUGUCAGGCUUGAGUAUGGUAGAGGGAAGUGGAAUUCCUGGUGUAGCGGUGAAAUGCGUAGAUAUCAGGAGGAACACCGGUGGCGAAAGCGGCUUCCUGGACCAAUACUGACGCUGAGGCGCGAAGGUGUGGGUAGCAAACAGGAUUAGAUACCCUGGUAGUCC